UCGAGAUCUGGUCACGUGACUAUCACUACACCAACGAAAACCCUGUUGUUGUUCUAAACGGCUCUCGUGAGAGAAACUAAGAUGUGCUUGAAAUUUCUUCUUCUUCUGACAGUGUUGAGCACAUGUGUGUACGAUACAGGCUCGCUACCUAGCAAAUUUGACCACAGACCUUUCGGAAAAUCGUGUCGUUAUCGAGGUGUCCAUCUGAUUCACGGGACGACAUACAACUUCAAGUGCAUCUGUUGGGAUGGUGACGUGUUAUGUUGAGUACAAUAUAAGGCAAAGUGGUGUUGAUCAUUGAACUUAAAACAAGACUUUUGCCACAAAGACAAUGUUCCAGAAUGGACAAUUUUAGAAAGGAACAUGCAGAAUGGAUGUUUACACUCAUGCAAGAGUUCCCAUAAAGUCACAUAUUUGAAUAAAUUUACUUUUGUAUUUCAAAAUUAUUUUGACAAUUAAA
Long non-coding RNA from Physella acuta, 460 nucleotides. RefSeq lists it as uncharacterized. The record is from RefSeq and is a predicted model, not a curated record. Lineage: Eukaryota; Metazoa; Mollusca; Gastropoda; Physidae.